GCGUGUCUCUUCGUCGGCUUGGAAGAAGUUCUGAGUGGAAAGGUGGUGUUUGAGGGUGUCAAAAGAGAUAGGGUUGGUAGUGGUGGGGGUGGAGGAGGAAGUUGUAGGAGAAAGAGAGAAAGUGGUGGUCGUGGAAGAGGUUGUGGUGGUGGUGGAGGAUGAGGAGGAGGAGGGGGAGGGGUGGAGGAAAAGGGAGGAAGGUGGAAGGUGGAAGGAUUCUGAGUUGGAGAGGCGUUUGAGGAAAGAAUAUUGGUGGUGAAGGGAUGCUAGAGAGUGGGUGGUCAUGGUUUGGGUUUGUGGUGGGAAUAGUGUGACAAUGGCGAAAGGUAAAGAGAGAAAAAGGAU
This 345-nucleotide long non-coding RNA is filed under the name Gossypium barbadense (sea-island cotton). Its description in RNAcentral is "long non-coding RNA (GBAR_LNC019553)". The record is from RNAcentral. Lineage: Eukaryota; Viridiplantae; Streptophyta; Magnoliopsida; Malvales; Malvaceae.